GGCAUCACUGGAUUUGGCCCAUAGAGGGUGAGAGGCCCGUACGGGUGGAGGUUCAGACAUGUGAGAUGGUUCACCAGGCCGGCCUCAGAGUCGGGUUGUUUGAGAUUGCAGCCCAAAGAGGGUGGUAAACUCCAUCCAAGGCUAAAUACUGCCACGAGUCCGAUAGCGAACAAGUACCAUGAGGGAAAGUUGAAAAGUACUCUGAAGAGAGAGUAAACAGUACGUGAAGCCGCAUGCAGGUAAACGGGUGGCGUCAAGCUGCGAGCCCGGAGGAUUCAGCUGACUGGGAUGUAGUGUACGCGCGCCUGGUGCGUCGAGAGGCCGGAGUAAGAUGUGGCGGUCCACUCCUCUGUCGGGAGUGGGGUGCAAUCGGUGUGCGCUCGCCGUGCAACGGUUGUCGCUAUGCAUGCCGGGUGGGUGCCGGAGCAUGCCGCUCGUCUGUUGGGCCACCUAGUCAGUGCAUUUUCUCCGUGGUGAACACCACGACCGGUGGAACUGCCAGUCUGCUAUGAGCAAGUCGUGUCCUCCUGGCGCAUUGCUGUGUUGGGUGGGCGCGAUCGCUGGCGGAGUGGGUGAACGGCGCAGUGGUGCCUCGGUACUGCCGCGUGUUAUCGUGCACUCUCCGUCGUAAGCGGUUAGUGGGUUUGACUAAGUGCUGUGACUACUUGCCUACUAAUCGGCGGCUCUUAGUGGUGAAAGUGACUGUGCAGGGCACCGGAGUUGUCCACCUCAUUCAAUAUGGUAUCCGGCACGCACGUUACAGGUGCUAAGGAAUCGAGGUGCGCCGCUGUCUGCCUGGUGUUGGGCCUGACUGUCGUGUUGCCUGCAAAAAGUGGGUCCGGCGGUGGUUUCGAUACUUGGUAUUGGCAGUGUGAUGCGCGUCUCGGGUGUCUGUGAUACCGGGGGUGAAAUAGUCAGUGGUGCUGUGGUAGACGAGCUACCCGACCCGUUUUGAAACACGGACCAAGG
This 969-nucleotide ribosomal RNA is filed under the name Hymenolepis microstoma. RNAcentral's name for it is "partial large subunit ribosomal RNA". It matches the Rfam family "Eukaryotic large subunit ribosomal RNA", at positions 175 to 671 of the family's 3401-position model. Lineage: Eukaryota; Metazoa; Platyhelminthes; Cestoda; Cyclophyllidea; Hymenolepididae. The record is from RNAcentral.